GAGGGGAGAAACAUAAAAGGUUGUGUGGCUGGCUUGAAACUAGUUAGAGGUGGUUCAAAUCCCCCCUCCCUUG
RNAcentral lists this transfer RNA (73 nucleotides) under Phoenicolacerta kulzeri (common Eurasian lizard). Its description in RNAcentral is "tRNA-Ser". It matches the Rfam family "tRNA". Rfam says of the family: Transfer RNA (tRNA) molecules are approximately 80 nucleotides in length. Lineage: Eukaryota; Metazoa; Chordata; Lepidosauria; Squamata; Lacertidae. The record is from RNAcentral.